RNAcentral lists this ribosomal RNA (466 nucleotides) under uncultured bacterium. RNAcentral's name for it is "partial 16S ribosomal RNA". It matches the Rfam family "Bacterial small subunit ribosomal RNA", at positions 28 to 507 of the family's 1533-position model. The record is from RNAcentral.
GACGAACGCUGGCGGCGUGCUUAACACAUGCAAGUCGAACGGUAAGGCUCCAGCUUGCUGGGGUACACGAGUGGCGAACGGGUGAGUAACACGUGGGUGACCUGCCCUGCACUUCGGGAUAAGCCUGGGAAACUGGGUCUAAUACCGGAUAGGACCUUGGUGUGGAUACUGUGGUGGACAGUUUUUUCGGUGUGGGAUGGGCCCGCGGCCUAUCAGCUUGUUGGUGGGGUAAUGGCCUACCAAGGCGGCGACGGGUAGCCGGCCUGAGAGGGUGGACGGCCACAUUGGGACUGAGACACGGCCCAGACUCCUACGGGAGGCAGCAGUGGGGAAUAUUGCACAAUGGGCGGAAGCCUGAUGCAGCGACGCCGCGUGGGGGAUGACGGCCUUCGGGUUGUAAACUCCUUUCACCAGCGACGAAGGGUUUCUGACGGUAGAUGGAGAAGAAGCACCGGCUAACUACGUG